RNAcentral lists this transfer RNA (72 nucleotides) under Cricetulus griseus (Chinese hamster). It matches the Rfam family "tRNA". From Rfam's summary of the family: Transfer RNA (tRNA) molecules are approximately 80 nucleotides in length. The record is from Rfam by way of RNAcentral. Lineage: Eukaryota; Metazoa; Chordata; Mammalia; Rodentia; Cricetidae.
UGGGUUGUAGCUCAGUGGUAGAGCACUCACCUAGCAUGUGUGAGGUCCUGGAUUUGAUCUAUAGCACUGCAG